Daphnia pulex (common water flea) is the source of this 3355-nucleotide RNA transcript. RefSeq lists it as uncharacterized. The transcript has 15 exons. The record is from RefSeq and is a predicted model, not a curated record. Lineage: Eukaryota; Metazoa; Arthropoda; Branchiopoda; Diplostraca; Daphniidae.
UCUUCUGUAAUGACAGUCACGUGCAAGAAGCAUUGAGUGAAAGUAGUACUUUUCUAGUGAGAAAUAUGGAGUAUGGAAAUGUUGGAUGUGCAGUGGUGAUGCAGUAAGGGGACAAGCAGUUAAUUGUGGGUUCUUGGCUAAUGGAAGUGUCAAUCAGAGGUAUUUGUUUUCUGGUUGCUUCCUCUGUUUCCGUACAACGUCGAGUCAAAUUGCUCCAUGGGACAGUGGUUCAUCCCCGCCUUCUAUGGUUGUAAUUGCUGGAUAAUAUAUUGGACAAUCUAUGGUACCAUCAGAUUGCCUGGUUUUUGUUGGAUGUGAUUGAACUUCCUGCUGCUCCAGCUUGUGAGAUGUAAUCAUUUCAAUAAAGGGAUGUGGAUGGAUGUGGAUGCGGCAGUCGUGGUAUAGGGUUGAAGUUUCUUGGGCUGUCAUUCGUAUUCUUGGGACAAGGCGUUUUUUUUUGCUGAACUUGGUCCGAAGAAGGUGACAUCGUUAUCUUCGGUGAGCAUUCUUUUUUUGGUGUUUUUCUACUUAUUGCAAAUGAUGUGUUUAGUCAUCCGUGUUUCACCUGAAUUCAUGAUUAUAAUCUUUGACUCUGAUCAUUAUUGGGAGGGAUAUUUUGAAUAGGGCUUUUUCAGUUGCUAACAUUUUAUAAUUGUCUAGGUGACUUGAUGUGAACCUCUGGCUUUGGUUAUUUGUGCUAUAGUCAGACUUGAUUGGGGUUCCAGAAAUUACUGGUGAGUUCAUUUCAAUAUAGAGAACAUGUUUCAUAUGAUGAGAACCUAGGCUAGAGUUUUGAGGUACUUCGGUGGUGUCAUGAAAUUACUCUUAUCUCGUUCAUUACUGAAGAUAAAUUUAAAAACAGUGCAUUAGGCUUUUUUUUCUCGGAUUUAAUGUUUUUAUUGUUUCAUUUCAGGUAAUUGCUUGCUGGUUGCUUUCCUGUUUUCCGUACAACAGUGAGUAAGUUUUUUAAAUUUUUCAGUGGGGUCUGAAUUUAAUGAUGAAUUUUUGUGUGGGAAUCUCUCGGAGAAAAAUGACAGACCAACCAUUGCACUUCCAGAUUUUUCAUACUUAAAACCAACAUUCAUAAACAAAGUUCACGUUCUAAUAGUUAUUUUAUUUACAGGAUAUUUGAAUGGUACCUGGGGGGGGCGGACAGGUAUGAAGAAAUUUCAUUUGAUAACAAAUUAGGGUUAAAUGUGAACAUAAAAUAUCUUAUUUCCCCUUCUGAAAAAUUUUAAAUAAGUGAAGCAUAUUUAACGUUGUACUGAGGAGGAAUUUUACUGUUGAAGUAUUAGGUUAUUUUGUUCAAUUUGAUAGAUUUCAUUUAUUUAUUAGGUACUGUCUGAUUGUCUGGUUUCUUUGGAUGUUGUUGAAUAUCUUGCUGCUUCAGUUUGGGAGGGGUAACAUUAUUUCAACAAUGGUUAAUCUCAGGUUUAGAAGACAAAUGUGACUUAAACCUCAACACUAGACGUAUGAUUCUUGCGAUCUGGACUGCAAUGAUGCGGCCGCUCUGUCAUCGUUGCCCGAUGACCGAAAUAAUUGAUCGAUCUAUUUCUGUCUGUAACGAAGCUGUUCUGCACUACGCCAUUCCCCGUAUUGCAUACGUAGCCCGUAGAUCAAAUUAGGCAUCAUCCUGGAUCAUUUCUACUCCCACCUUCUGUGCAAUAGGAGUUAUUAAGAAAAUUUUUUUUAGCAUGAUUUAUUGCUCCCACCACCCCUCAAUAUAUGAGCAACACGUUCCUCUGCUAAAAACAUAGGCUAAAACACACAUCGAAUUUCUCAGAACAAGUGAAGAUUUUACCGGAAGAUGUUGUUUCGCCACCAGGUGAUGUGAUUCGAAGUCAGCUGAUCACCCCUACUCCCCGCCUCUGCCCCGCCUUCAACAAGUUACGUAUUACUGUAUUACCUCUUUCUCCAUGGCUCCUUCAAGUUUCAGUUCAUGGAAACUGGGAAUGUCGUACUAGUAAUUGUUUUAGAAAUUAUUCGUUUUUGCCAAGUAAGAGAGGUGAUCCAUGCCGUGCAGAGCUGAUUCAAAUUCUGAUUGCGGAAUGAUAACGUUGAAAAACAAAGAGUUAAAGGUUGACAUCCCUUGAAUUGAAAUUACUCUAGUUCAAAAUGUUGUAAAUUGUGAGAUUAUUAUGUAUAUUUCAUGUAUAUGUCUUUCAUACAUGUACGCUACACAUCACAAGUUUGGUAUUUAACUCAUAGAAAGCCAUUUUGCCAAGUCCAUCCCUGCUUCUAGUCUGGCCAAGACCUUUGGCAGCCAUUGUAACACACUCAAGGAAAUAGACUUGACUAGUGAGGAUUUCUUGCACCCAAAGGAAACUGUUCAACAACCUAUUCAACAAUUUUUCCAUUGUAAGGAUGUUUUACUUUGAUUAAGAUAAAGGGAUUCAUUGGAUUAUCAGCUCCAAAUGAUGACAUUUUAUUUUGGAGCCCAUUACUGCUAUAACUGCUAUCCAGCUUUAUCAGGCAAUGAGCUUGGUUUGAAAAACUGCCUGAAAAAAUCUUAAAUGUGACAAGAAAUUAAUAUGAUCUCUUGGUUCCAACGCCGCUGCUUUGUUGUUAUUAAAGGAGUCUGAGUGGAGGUUCUGAGUGGGAAAUUCUUUGAGUAUUGUGUGGUUUUUCCUCCCUUAUUGCUUGUGCAUACAAUCUGAGAUUUGUUGACCUCUUUGGAGCAUUUAUGGAAGGAGAACAUCAUCAAGACCAAUUGCUGGCGUCACCUUGGCCGUCAAUAAACUGUCAAUGCAAAACCGACACCUUCAACAAGUACACCCACGUGUCCUACGCAUCCAUUACGUUGGUUGAUGCCUUAUUUACGCCGACUGGAUACUCAACAGUCUGGUCUUAUCAGUCAGGAGAGGAACUAUCGAAGUAUAAAUUAUCUACUGGAUCUGUGCAGGAAGAUGAUAGCUAAGACCUGUUGGAUUGAAAUUGUGUUUCAUGUUGCCGAAAAUAUGUCUUCUCCUGCAACCUCUUUCUAUAGAAAUAGAACAGCCGUAGCCGACCGCUAGAGUUAGUCCGCCAGAGGUAGAGAACUGUGGCAAAUUACCGCCAUUUCUUCUCUAGUCCAAUUUAUCAUUGAACUUGCUGUAAAAUGAGGAUUAUACUGGCAUAGCUGCUGUCCAAUGAAUGCCGUCUAUGCUGGUGAAAGAUAGUAUUAAGGUCAUUUGACUGUUCCUUGGUGAUUACGAAAAUGCAACCAUUAUUUGUUAAAUUGUUAUUUUUCUAUGCCCUUGACCAUUUAUAUGUUAAAAGAUUGACCAUGAGAUACGAUUGAGAGGAUGAGGAAAAAGAAAAUGGGGAAAUAUGUGCGAUUUAACUAUUAAAUCUCGAGAAAAAUUUUAUAAUCAAA